Molecule: ribosomal RNA, 253 nt
Filed under: uncultured bacterium
Lineage: Bacteria
Description: partial 16S ribosomal RNA
Rfam family: Bacterial small subunit ribosomal RNA
Source: RNAcentral
UACGUAGGUGACAAGCGUUGUCCGGAUUUACUGGGCGUAAAGAGCGCGCAGGCGGUCGAUCAAGUCGAGUGUGAAAGCCCCCGGCUCAACUGGGGAGGGUCAUUCGAUACUGAUCGACUCGAAGGCAGGAGAGGGUAGUGGAAUUCCCGGUGUAGUGGUGAAAUGCGUAGAUAUCGGGAGGGACACCAGUGGCGAAGGCAGCUCUCUGGGACGGUACUGACGCUGAGGUGCGAGAGCGUGGGGAGCGAACCGG